This 107-nucleotide non-coding RNA is filed under the name Actinotalea fermentans. RNAcentral describes it as "Glycine sequence". It matches the Rfam family "Glycine riboswitch aptamer". Rfam says of the family: This family represents the bacterial glycine riboswitch. Lineage: Bacteria; Bacillati; Actinomycetota; Actinomycetes; Micrococcales; Cellulomonadaceae. The record is from Rfam by way of RNAcentral.
CGAGCCGCGGUGGGAGAGUCCGUGCGGGUCCGGUUCCGGCCGGGCCGACGGCGCCGAAGGAGCAACCUCCCCGGGAAUCUCUCAGGCCCCCGUACCGCCGCGGCGAG